RNAcentral lists this ribosomal RNA (306 nucleotides) under uncultured actinomycete. Its description in RNAcentral is "bacterial SSU rRNA". It matches the Rfam family "Bacterial small subunit ribosomal RNA", at positions 222 to 543 of the family's 1533-position model. The record is from RNAcentral. Lineage: Bacteria; Bacillati; Actinomycetota; Actinomycetes; Actinomycetales.
UGGAUGAGCCCGCGGCCUAUCAGCUUGUUGGUGGGGUAAUGGCCUACCAAGGCGACGACGGGUAGCCGGCCUGAGAGGGUGACCGGCCACACUGGGACUGAGACACGGCCCAGACUCCUACGGGAGGCAGCAGUGGGGAAUAUUGCACAAUGGGCGAAAGCCUGAUGCAGCGACGCCGCGUGAGGGAUGACGGCCUUCGGGUUUAAACCUCUUUCGGCCCGCACGAAGCGCAAGGACAGACCUAUUACUGCACCGGCCAACCAGAUCCCUUUCCUUUCCCGUUUCCCCCAGAGGGGGUGGCCCCCU